AGGGUGACAGGUGGUGCAUGGUUGUCGUCAGCUCGUGUCGUGAGAUGUUGGGUUAAGUCCCGCAACGAGCGCAACCCUUAUCAUUAGUUGCUACGCAAGGGCACUCUAAUGAGACUGCCGGUGGACAAACCGGAGGAAGGUGGGGAUGACGUCAAGUCCUCAUGGCCCUUAUGGGUAGGGCUUCACACGUCAUACAAUGGUCGGUACAGAGGGUUGCCAAGCCGCGAGGCGGAGCCAAUCCCACAAAGCCGAUCGUAGUCCGGAUUGUUCUCUGCAACUCGAGAGCAUGAAGUCGGAAUCGCUAGUAAUCGCAGGUCAGCAUACUGCGGUGAAUACGUUCCCGGGUCUU
RNAcentral lists this ribosomal RNA (349 nucleotides) under uncultured Thiobacillus sp. RNAcentral's name for it is "bacterial SSU rRNA". It matches the Rfam family "Bacterial small subunit ribosomal RNA", at positions 1028 to 1382 of the family's 1533-position model. The record is from RNAcentral. Lineage: Bacteria; Pseudomonadati; Pseudomonadota; Betaproteobacteria; Nitrosomonadales; Thiobacillaceae.